Long non-coding RNA from Dama dama (fallow deer), 5318 nucleotides. RefSeq lists it as uncharacterized. The transcript is spliced from 3 exons. The record is from RefSeq and is a predicted model, not a curated record. Lineage: Eukaryota; Metazoa; Chordata; Mammalia; Artiodactyla; Cervidae.
AAGAUAAGAUGUUAUAAAUAUUCUUAUAAUUUAACAAAGUUUUUUUCAACAUUGAUAUUAAAGGUUAAAUAGCAUUUAAAUGGUGGUUAAUAGUAAAUUGGAAUAGUUUUAUUGACUUUUGUUAAGAAAGGAACCCCGGGGAUUCAAUUCCCUGGAGGUCCAGUGGUGAAGACUUUACGCUUUCACUGCAGGGGGUGCAGGUUUGAUCCCUGGUCAGGGAAGUUCUGCAUGCCAUGAGGUGCAGCCAAAGAAAGAAAUUUUAAAAAGAAAGGAACCCCUGUUUGUUCUCAAAUAUGGGUAGAAAUGCCAUAUAAAGGAACUAUAUAAAAGCAUCUGUAAAAAAGUCACUCUCCUUCUAAUAGGAGAAAAUGAUGACCCUUCAAUAGAACCAAUGCUGGCCCAUAACAUGCCUUUGAUGGUCUGGGAAAGGACAUCCAUUUCUCUGAGCAGAGGAGGCUGCAUGUGGCCCAGAGGGUUUGGGGAGCAGAGUGAGCACUGGAUUCUGGUUCCCCCCACCUCAGCGAGGCUCCUGUGCCCUGCAUAUAUAUUACAGGCACAGUGCAUGGUGCCAGCAGUCACUGUGACAGCCAAGAUGUUAUUACUGCCUCAAUGAAGUCACCUGUAGUUAGUUCAUACAAGGGUAUAAAUUAUUACAUAGUUUUAAAAGAUGUGCCCAUUCAAAUCAUCAUCCCUAAAGCAAUCUCAUUUUGACAUAGUACUCAUUAUAGGAAAAAGACUGAGAAUUUUUACUGUAGAAACAGCUGAGGUACACAGAAGCUUUGGGACAGUUCUGAAAUAUGCUUGGAUUUGGGUAUGAAAUAUACAGCCUGCCUUGUAAAACUUAGUAUCAGGGUGACAUGAAGCAGCUCAGAGAUGUGGGGAGCACUGCAGAGGUUUAGGAAAGAAAAUAUGCAGUUGCUCAGUAAAAUCUUUGAUGGCCAAAAGUCUGAACCCAUGGUGAGCAAAGCAAAAUUGGAUCUGAAAAUAGAUUGAAAAAGUAUGUAGUCCCCUUUGAUCUUUUUUAUUUCUUGGUUCUGGGAGUUAAUUCUUAAGGAGAAGGGCCUAUGGAGUUCUAAAAAGUUCCCAUUCUCAUAGGUUAUGAAAUUCACAAAAUUGUACAUGUGUUCCUGAUGACCUUAACGAAACCUCACCCUGGGAAUCCAUUUAAAAAGGGGUUACGACAAUGCUCAUCAGCAACCCAGACAUGUCUAGUCAUAGAAAUCAAAUUUUCACAAACCAUUCUUUCCCAAAGAUGAAUCUGUAACCCAUAACUGAUAAAGAAGAAUUAGGCCUUGCUAUUAGAGAACUGGACACAUCACUCUAACUAGUCUUCAGUGAAGCUAUGCUGUGCAGAGAGAGAAGAGCAGUCAGGUGUAUGGCAGAGGCAAGACCCACAGUGAAAAGCACAAAAGGUUUUCUGCUCUAACCUCUACUUGCCCAUUCUGCUGCCCUCCUGACUGCUCAUCUCCCCAAAGGCCAGGUCCACUUAUUUCCCAUAUUUGGGCAGCAUUCCAGUUGCCAGACUACUAUUGCUCUCAAAAUUUGCCAGUCCCUGGCCUUCUGCAAGGUGAUCAUGCAAGCAGUGGGUCACUGUUACCAUCUUCAUGAUUGCUUACUUAUUAGGGACCACAUUCCCAGUGUCUUUCUGCAGGUCACUAAGGACUUCUUUGACAGUCACCUAAUCCAGCUGAUGACUCCAACCUUGAGACUUCCAGGUUGCAGAUGCUCGUGACAAGGCUCUAAAUUACAGAUGAGCAGUAACACUUAACUGAUAUCCCAUGGAACUACAGCUCCUUACAACACACUUUGGAAAUGUUAAUCCAGUUCAGUGAGCACAUUUUAAAGAUGAAGAAACUAAGGCCCAGAGAAGGUAAUAAAAAUUGGGAAACUGUUAAGCACACAUCCAUCUUCGGCACAGCACUAUCCUAAGUCCAGGAAGAAGCUUUCAAAACGAGCCUGGCCAUUUGCAAACCUUUCUCCAGACAGACUCUCCUCAGCCAGCCCCGGCUACUAAGGAAGGUGAUUUUGGGACAGGGAAAGGUAGGGUCUGGCCAGGAGCCAUGUCUGCUGUAACUCGUCUCAUCUUGGUGUUGGUGUGUGGAACCUCAUGCAGUUCACGGAGGCUGCAAGCUCUCACUGUGGCCACUAAGUAUUGCUCCAGACACCCCCACCUCCUUUGCUCAUAUACAAUAUUUUCUUUUUCAUAACUUGGCUUCAAUGAAAAAGAAUAUUUUAAGUAAGCUACUCAUACUCAUUGUUUACCUAAAGCAGCCUUAAAAAGCCCAGAGCAAGGGAUCUGUUAAGUAAACCCAGAAGUAGAGGACAGAUUUGCCUCCUCUUAAUUGUGCCCUGAAGCGCCUUUAGAAGAAAUGAGUAUAGUGAACAUCACAGAAAUUAUAAGUCACAUGUCUGAACCCAGAUCUGUACCUGGAUUUUACUGGGCACAGAAACUCAUUGAUUGUAGCCCAAGUGUUCACCCAGUCUGCCAGACAGCCACAGAAGUGAAAAUACCAAAAGCCUGGGGCCAGGACUAGAGUAAGGCAUAUGAGGUAUUAUUCCACCUUGGAUACAGCAUUUAAGGGGGUGCCAAAGUUCAGUAAUCAAGAAAUAAUAUUUUAGUGCAAUACUUUAAAAAGACAAACUCUUGAUAGGACCAGAUUAGGGUGAGUGAGGUGAGACAUGCCAAGUAUGUGGUCAGAUCUUGUGUGUGUUUAAAAUGCUAGAAUUUGCUCAUCAGUAAAUUUUUUUGCAUUAAUUUUGAUUUUUUAAAAAUACUGCAUAAAAACAGUAUUUAUUGGGACUUCCCUGGCUGUCCAGUGGUUAAGACUGUGCUUCCACUGCAGGGCACCUGGGUUCAAUCCUUUUUUCAGGGAACUACGAUCCCGCAUGCUGCUUGGUGUGGUCAAAAAAAUAAUAGUAAUAUUUAUCGUGGCUACUAGGACUUACUGUGCAGCUCAUGAAGGACCUGACAGGUUUCCUAGUAAUUCUGUAUUCAUUUUCUUAAAGACGACCCCCGCCAAAGUUCUUUAGGCAUAAAUCUUGAGUCAGACAUAGAAUUCAUUUAUUGUCAAAUGAGAGUGCUCAGCUCCAAGGGUUGCCUGUUGCCCAAAGAUGGAUAAGCGCCCUGCUAACAUCCCAAGUUGCUCCGAGGUAGCCUGGGGUAAAGUGACUCCGUACACAUCAGCAGGGAUUACUCUCACUUCUUUCAUCUAUCUGUAACUCAAUUUAGGGUGGAAGGAGCUUUUUGAUCUUCUAGAGCCAGAGCCUGUUCCUUCAGUCCAGCUUAUUAGGAUAUCUGGGCCAUCCCUUUCCUCAGAGGACAUGGGUAUAGGUGUGCCUUCUUUCAGAACAACUCUUCUGCAUUCUUUUUGACUUUCCCAGGGCAGCCCUUUAUGUUUUGUGCUUUGUGUACCUGCAUGUCUCGAUAUUCACCUGUAAGAUGGGCAGCGUGCUCAUUCUUGCUUCUGUUAUGCUACAUGCGUCUCUCUCUGUACCACAGAAGCCCUCCUUGACUUCCAUUCCCUGGACGCUGGAGAUUUCCAAAACCAAAGCCAACUCUGCCCCAAGCAGCAGAUACUCUCAGGGCCCGGGGCUCUGGUAUGUGCUGUGGGCGCCAGUGCUCCUCUAGAUCUUGGCCUCGUAGUUGCUUAUUACCCUGUCAUCUUGCUAUUGCUUUUUGGUAAACUUAAAACACAAUGUAUUUUUAAAUCCAGAAAUUUUAGCUGUUUUCAGUGAGAGGGUUGGUCUGGAUCACUAGUCUGCCAUUACUAGAAGCAGAAGUCUUGACAUAAAUGGGUUAUUAAUUUAUAUUAUUACCAGUGCUUCUAGAUAAUCUACUUAAAUCCUUUCAUUUGUUUUUCAAAGGGAGAGACACUGGAUUAGUGCCCUGAGGAAAGAAGCCAUGUCUGUUAGUUCACUUUCAUGUUCUCCACGCAGGGAAGGAAUGAUGCUUGGGGCUGACACUCAGGAAAGGCAAACAAGGCCCUCACCCUGGGUAUAAAACUUUAGACCUAAAAUUGAACUGAAACCUGACUUUAUCUUCCCUUUCCUCAUUGACUGCCUGUGUAGAAGUUUGAUCCAAUAUUGAAACCAGGAAUUGAAGCUUUCAAGUAUAAUCAUAGAAAUGUCUGGUUCUCCCUUCAGUUCUGUGUUUGCUUCAUAUAUCUUGGGGACUCUGCUGUUUGGUGUGUGUAAUUUAUAAUGAUUUCAUAUUCAUAAUAAAUUCACCCAUUUUCAUGAAAAAAAAAAAAACAGCAGUGAAUAUAAGUUUAGCAUAAAGUCUGGCCUGGCAUUUCUUGCUCAAUGAACGUUAUAUGUUAUUAUCAUGAAGCAGGGAAGCAAUGAAAUAAUGUGACAGAAGCCAGAAGAGUGGUUAAUUUUGAGGGUGGUGGUGUGUGUUUGAGGGUGAAUCUUUUCUCUAGGGCCAGGAGGAGAAGGGAGAUGACAACUCACCAGGAGAAAGAGAGGACUGAUGGCUACCCAGCAGAUCUUCCAAAACCAUCCAGGGCUGAAACCAAGCAUUUCCUUCACAUCACUGCAGAACUGAUUGAUGCCUACAGUCAUCCAGAAGAGAAGGAGAUUGACUAAGAGAGGAAACAGACUGUCCUCCUAGCCCUUGAGUCUCAGAGAGAGUAGCAACUCUGGAAUUUCUCCGUGGGAGGGGUUCAGGGACACCAAUCUGGUCUGAAAGUGGGACGGGGAACAUGUCACAAAAAUACUUGUUAUAGCAAGCAAAGCUCUUUCUACAGAGAGUGGGAGGACUGGUAGACACUGGGGACCUAAAGCCUUGUCUUGGUGCCCCACAGCACCCUUCUAGGAUUUCACCAUGUAUCUGAUUUUAUCCUUACUGUAGAAAAGGAAGUUGAACUUUGUCUAAAAAUGUUGAACCCACUUGAUAGAGACUGACUCUGACCAUAUGCUAGAAACUUUCAAGAGAAAAUUCUAACCACACUAUUGCUCAUUCAUGUUGUCAGAUCAAGAUCAAGGUUCUUCUCUACAAAGUAACCGGCAGGGAAGUGAGAAGUGGGAACUCCGACUGGGGAGAGAUGGAGAAGGGGAAGGAAGAGCACUCUGUGGUUGCUUCCCUGAAAAUGCCCAGAGGUCUGUAGCAUCACAGACUUUGAACUUGGUUCUCUGAAGUGCUGAGGGGGUGGGGAGGACUUCUUUCAAACACACAAAAAAGUCCCAAAACCGGGCCCACGUAUAACUCAAAACAUGGGACCCCCCCUUCUUCAUGUUAUGUGUAAUGAUCUACAUGCUAAAGCUGUUCUGCUAUCAUAGAAACUGGGAAAAUAAAUAUAUUCAGAAUGAAAUAAUCA